Cladochytrium tenue is the source of this 73-nucleotide non-coding RNA. Lineage: Eukaryota; Fungi; Chytridiomycota; Chytridiomycetes; Cladochytriales; Cladochytriaceae. The record is from the annotation of a GenBank genome assembly.
GCCCGGUUAGCUCAGUUGGUAGAGCGUGAGACUUUUAAUCUUAAGGUCGGGGGAUCGAGACCCCCAUCGGGCG